AUGGAUGUUAAGACUGCUUUCCUAAAUGGAAAGUUGGACGAGAAAAUUUAUAUGGAACAACCAGAUGGGUUUGUACUAGAUGGUCAGGAAGGAAAAGUGUGCAAGUUGCUAAAGUCCUUGUAUGGACUCAAGCAAGCACCCAAACAGUGGCAUGAGAAGUUUGAAAGAAUUUUAACAGCCGCAGGCUUUGUUGUAAACGAAGCUGACAAAUGUGUGUACUAUCUCCAUGGUGGGGGAUGA
Molecule: ribosomal RNA, 240 nt
Filed under: Triticum aestivum (bread wheat)
Lineage: Eukaryota; Viridiplantae; Streptophyta; Magnoliopsida; Poales; Poaceae
Description: partial small subunit ribosomal RNA
Source: RNAcentral